CAAUAGCGUAUAUUAAAGUUGUUGCAGUUAAAAAGCUCGUAGUUGGAUUUCUGAAUUGAAUAUCCGGUCCGCUCGUCUCUGAUGAGUGCGUACUUAUGGAUAUUGGAUUCAUUUUUUGUGAGGACAUUUAUCUGUCAUUAAGUUGAUGGAUUUAUAGACUUGCAUCGUUUACUGUGAAAAAAUUAGAGUGUUUAAAGCAGGCGUUCGCCCAUUUGAAUACAUUAGCAUGGAAUAAUAAGAUAUGACUUUGGUGGUCUAUUUUGUUGGUUUGCACACCAGAGUAAUGAUUAAUAGGGACAGUUGGGGGUAUUCAUAUUUCAACGUCAGAGGUGAAAUUCUUAGAUCGUUGAAAGAUGACCUUAGGCGAAAGCAUCUACCAUGGAUGUUUUCAUUA
This 394-nucleotide ribosomal RNA is filed under the name uncultured eukaryote. RNAcentral describes it as "partial 18S ribosomal RNA". It matches the Rfam family "Eukaryotic small subunit ribosomal RNA", at positions 592 to 975 of the family's 1831-position model. The record is from RNAcentral.